UGGGGAAUAUUGGACAAUGGGCGAAAGCCUGAUCCAGCCAUGCCGCGUGUGUGAAGAAGGCCUUUUGGUUGUAAAGCACUUUAAGCGAGGAGGAGGCUACUUGGAUUAAUACUCUAGGAUAGUGGACGUUACUCGCAGAAUAAGCACCGGCUAACUCUGUGCCAGCAGCCGCGGUAAUACAGAGGGUGCGAGCGUUAAUCGGAUUUACUGGGCGUAAAGCGUGCGUAGGCGGCUUUUUAAGUCGGAUGUGAAAUCCCUGAGCUUAACUUAGGAAUUGCAUUCGAUACUGGGAAGCUAGAGUAUGGGAGAGGAUGGUAGAAUUCCAGGUGUAGCGGUGAAAUGCGUAGAGAGCUGGAGGAAUACCGAUGGCGAAGGCAGCCAUCUGGCCUAAUACUGACGCUGAGGUACGAAAGCAUGGGGAGCAAACAGG
Molecule: ribosomal RNA, 430 nt
Filed under: Acidobacteriota bacterium
Lineage: Bacteria; Pseudomonadati; Acidobacteriota
Description: Acidobacteria bacterium partial 16S ribosomal RNA
Rfam family: Bacterial small subunit ribosomal RNA
Source: RNAcentral